RNAcentral lists this ribosomal RNA (381 nucleotides) under Podarcis milensis milensis. Its description in RNAcentral is "partial 16S ribosomal RNA". It matches the Rfam family "Bacterial large subunit ribosomal RNA", at positions 2038 to 2620 of the family's 2925-position model. Lineage: Eukaryota; Metazoa; Chordata; Lepidosauria; Squamata; Lacertidae. The record is from RNAcentral.
GAAAUUGAUCCUCCAGUACAAAAGCUGGAAUAAACCCAUAAGACGAGAAGACCCUGUGGAGCUUUAAAACCAAAACCACUAAACAUGCUUCUUGGAUUUUUAGUUGGGGCGACUUUGGAGCAAAAAAAACCCUCCAAAACAUAAACUCAAUUAUCUAGACUAACACACCAAAAAUUUUUACUAGACCCAGCAGUGUUUUACGCUGUCUGACAAAUGAACCAAGUUACCCCAGGGAUAACAGCGCCAUCCUCUUCUAGAGUCCCUAUCGACAAGAGGGUUUACGACCUCGAUGUUGGAUCAAGACACCCCUAUAGUGCAACCGCUAUAAAAGGUUCGUUUGUUCAACGAUUAAAGUCCUACGUGAUCUGAGUUCAGACCGGA